Molecule: ribosomal RNA, 301 nt
Filed under: uncultured bacterium
Lineage: Bacteria
Description: partial 16S ribosomal RNA
Rfam family: Bacterial small subunit ribosomal RNA
Source: RNAcentral
CAGCCGCCACGGUAAUACGAAGGGUGCAAGCGUUAAUCGGAAUUACUGGGCGUAAAGCGUGCGUAGGCGGUUUGUUAAGUCUGCUGUGAAAUCCCCGGGCUCAACCUGGGAAUGGCAGUGGAUACUGGCAAGCUAGAGUGUGUCAGAGGAUGGUGGAAUUCCCGGUGUAGCGGUGAAAUGCGUAGAGAUCGGGAGGAACAUCAGUGGCGAAGGCGGCCAUCUGGGACAACACUGACGCUGAGGCACGAAAGCGUGGGGAGCAAACAGGAUUAGAUACCCGUGUAGUCCCUGUCUCUUAUAA